This is a long non-coding RNA of Herpailurus yagouaroundi (jaguarundi), 1185 nucleotides long. RefSeq lists it as uncharacterized. The record is from RefSeq and is a predicted model, not a curated record. NCBI's taxonomy places the organism in Eukaryota, Metazoa, Chordata, Mammalia, Carnivora, Felidae. The transcript has 2 exons.
UCAAGGUUGUGGGGAAACACACACCCCUACACAUUGACGCACGGACGCGCACCCGAAGCCCCGCCCCCAAAUCUACGGGGACUCGGUCCCUAGGCCGAGGAUCUUCUUAAGGCACCAUCCCAGCCAUGCACGACCCUGGGUUUUGCAAGAAAGACCCCCGAGCAGCAGCGCAGGCUUCUGGAGAAUGCAAGCUCCCACCUGGCCUAGGCGUCCGGCUCCGCUGCGGAACGUGAAGUUCCCCUGCCCCCGCGGGAGGUGGGAGGGCGCUGCGGAAAGGCAGUCCUCCGCAUUUCGUCUCAGGCCACCGGAUCAGGGCUGAAGCCAGCCCAAGCGGACCCCUCCCUAUCCCCACCCGCCUGCCGGCAGGCCCCAGGUCAGCGUCUUACAACUCUUCAUUAUGAAGUGGGUGUAGUGCCCUUGUCUCCAGAGACGCGAAGAGUCCUCGAGGCCCCUCGAGCUAAAAGUGCAGCCUGGCCCAGUUUCUCCUGGCCUACUCUACUCCACUCCUGGUACACGACCCACCUCCAAGGGGCGGAGGGCCCCUGGGGCAGCGCUGACUCACGCGUGCGUGGUUUCCACCAGUCUUUCAACUUGAGAGACCCCCACAGUCGGCCCUUAGCCGGGAGUUCCUGUGUGCGGCUCCCGACGCAGACCUUCGAACCCCUUCCAGACUUCCGAGCUCCAGACGUCCCGCAACUCCGCCUUGAUCCCUACCCGAUACCUAGGUGGGCUUUUACUUAGCAUUGAAAGACGCUUCCGUUGAGAAAAGGAUUUCGAAGCUUGUCUGAAUCCCUCCUGUUCACAAGGUCUUUGCCGGUCUAAAGUCUCUCAAUAAAACCAAUCUGUGCCCCGAGUUGUGUAGUGUGAGGAUGGGGUGGCAGUGGGGGGUCGGGGGCUCAGGCAAACGCCUUGGAAACUGGAACAACCAGCUUGGGGCUGUGACCUAAAUGUCUGGAGCUCUGUAGGCUCCACUUGGACGCGAGGGCGAGGACACAGCCCGGGAGGGCGACUGCCUCGGGUGGGGGUUGGGCAGUACUAAUCUGAAGGUGGAGGUAGGGGAGGGUCCCCGACUGCGUUUUUGCAAAAAGCCCAACUCCUGUAAGUCUCGGUAGACGGCCUGUCUUCACCUCCCCUCCCCAUAUACGUGCCCCCAAGACACAAUGAACAAAUAAAAGACUGCAAUUA